GAUGAACGCUGGCGGCGUGCCUAAUACAUGCAAGUCGAGCGAACAGACGAGGAGCUUGCUCCUCUGACGUUAGCGGCGGACGGGUGAGUAACACGUGGAUAACCUACCUAUAAGACUGGGAUAACUUCGGGAAACCGGAGCUAAUACCGGAUAACAUAUUGAACCGCAUGGUUCAUUAGUGAAAGACGGUUUUGCUUUCACCUAUAGACGGAUCCGCGCCGCAUUAGCUAGUUGGUAAGGUAACGGCUUACCAAGGCGACGAUGCGUAGCCGACCUGAGAGGGUGAUCGGCCACACUGGAACUGAGACACGGUCCAGACUCCUACGGGAGGCAGCAGUAGGGAAUCUUCCGCAAUGGGCGAAAGCCUGACGGAGCAACGCCGCGUGAGUGAUGAAGGUCUUCGGAUCGUAAAACUCUGUUAUUAGGGAAGAACAAAUGUGGAAGUAACUGUGCACGUCGUGACGGUACCUAAUCAGAAAGCCACGGCUAACUACGUG
RNAcentral lists this ribosomal RNA (497 nucleotides) under uncultured bacterium. RNAcentral's name for it is "partial 16S ribosomal RNA". It matches the Rfam family "Bacterial small subunit ribosomal RNA", at positions 28 to 507 of the family's 1533-position model. The record is from RNAcentral.